CCUGGUAACAAUGGCGAGAAGGUCACACCCGUUCCCAUACCGAACACGGAAGUUAAGCUUCUCAGCGCCGAUGGUAGUUGGGGCAUGCGCCCCUGUGAGAGUAGGACGUUGCCAGGC
RNAcentral lists this ribosomal RNA (117 nucleotides) under Bacillus sp. MM2020_4. RNAcentral also lists the same sequence under 1 other name. Lineage: Bacteria; Bacillati; Bacillota; Bacilli; Caryophanales; Bacillaceae. The record is from RNAcentral.